GAUGAACGCUGGCGGCGUGCCUAAUACAUGCAAGUCGAGCGAACAGACGAGGAGCUUGUUCUUCUGACGUUAGCGGCGGACGGGCGAGUAACAAGUGGAUAACCUACUUAUUAGACUGGGAUAACUUCGGGAAAAAGGAGCUACUACUGGCUAAUAUAUCGUACCGCUUGGUUCAAUAGUGAAAGACGCUUUUGCUGUCUCUUAUAGAUGAAUCCGCGUCGGAUUAGCUAGUUGGUAAGGUAACGGCUUACCAAGGCAACGAUGCGUAGCUGAUCUGAGAGGGUGAUCAGCCACACUGGAACUGAGACACGGUCCAGACUCCUACGGGAGGCAGCAGUGGGGAAUCUUCGACAAUGGGCGAAAGCCUGACGCAGCAACACCGCGUGAGUGAUGAAGGUCUUCGGGUCGUAAAACUCUGUUAUUGGGAAAGAAAAGAUGUAUGUUAAUCUAUGCACGUCUUGACGGUACCUAAACAAAAAGCCACGGCUAACUUCGUG
This 497-nucleotide ribosomal RNA is filed under the name uncultured bacterium. RNAcentral's name for it is "partial 16S ribosomal RNA". It matches the Rfam family "Bacterial small subunit ribosomal RNA", at positions 28 to 507 of the family's 1533-position model. The record is from RNAcentral.